UACGAAGGGGGCUAGCGUUGCUCGGAAUCACUGGGCGUAAAGCGCACGUAGGCGGCUUUCUAAGUCAGGGGUGAAAUCCUGGAGCUCAACUCCAGAACUGCCUUUGAUACUGGAGAGCUUGAGUCCGGAAGAGGUGAGUGGAACUCCGAGUGUAGAGGUGAAAUUCGUAGAUAUUCGGAAGAACACCGGUGGCGAAGGCGGCAUCCUGGACCGGCAUUGACGCUGAGGCGCGAAAGCCAGGGGAGCAAACGGG
Molecule: ribosomal RNA, 253 nt
Filed under: uncultured bacterium
Lineage: Bacteria
Description: partial 16S ribosomal RNA
Rfam family: Bacterial small subunit ribosomal RNA
Source: RNAcentral